AUGACUUCAAUUUUGGAUGGCACACCUACACACACCCACAGUGACCAGAUCAGAUUCAUUAUGGAUGUCCCUUUUCCAGAGUCCAUCAUCUGUGCUCUUGCUGUUGUGAAAGAUGUGUCCAUCUUGGAGGCUGAGGAGAAAUUCCUUCGAGGACCUGUCAUUGACGCAAGGUACUGUAAGGAUCCUAUAAAGGAAAAAAAAAAUUGAAACAUGACAUCCUGCCAUUAUUUAUAAAUAACCAUUGUUUUCUACCACUAUGCAACUUUUGCUUUUUUAUUUAUUUUUAUCAGUGAGUGGGAUCACUUUGACCGCAGGAUAAAGAAACAAUUAAAGAAGAGUGGCAAACCAUUGGAGAGUCAUCUACAGGAGUCAUGCUGUUAAGAAAUAACCAAGUCAUGGUGUUAAUAAAUUUUUUUUGUGAACAACAAUAUUGUCUUUCUUUUAAAUGACCC
RNAcentral lists this long non-coding RNA (452 nucleotides) under Carassius auratus (goldfish). RNAcentral's name for it is "lncRNA (ENSCARG00000060821.1)". The record is from RNAcentral. Lineage: Eukaryota; Metazoa; Chordata; Actinopteri; Cypriniformes; Cyprinidae.